Molecule: ribosomal RNA, 498 nt
Filed under: uncultured bacterium
Lineage: Bacteria
Description: partial 16S ribosomal RNA
Rfam family: Bacterial small subunit ribosomal RNA
Source: RNAcentral
GACGAACGCUGGCGGCGUGCCUAAUACAUGCAAGUCGAACGAGAGCGACCGGUGCUUGCACUGGUCAAUCUAGUGGCGAACGGGUGAGUAACACGUGGGUAACCUGCUCAUCAGAGGGGGAUAACAUCCGGAAACGGAUGCUAAAACCGCAUAGGUCUUCGAGCCGCAUGGCUUGAAGAGGAAAAGAGGCGCAAGCUUCUGCUGAUGGAUGGACCCGCGGUGCAUUAGCUAGUUGGUGAGGUAACGGCUCACCAAGGCCGUGAUGCGUAGCCGACCUGAGAGGGUGAUCGGCCACAUUGGGACUGAGACACGGCCCAAACUCCUACGGGAGGCAGCAGUAGGGAAUCUUCCGCAAUGGACGCAAGUCUGACGGAGCAACGCCGCGUGAGUGAAGAAGGUUUUCGGAUCGUAAAACUCUGUUGUUAGAGAAGAACAAGUGCUAGAGUAACUGUUAGCGCCUUGACGGUAUCUAACCAGAAAGCCACGGCUAACUACGUG